Molecule: ribosomal RNA, 547 nt
Filed under: uncultured bacterium
Lineage: Bacteria
Description: bacterial SSU rRNA
Rfam family: Bacterial small subunit ribosomal RNA
Source: RNAcentral
AGCCUGAUCCAGCCAUGCCGCGUGGGUGAAGAAGGCCUUCGGGUUGUAAAGCCCUUUUGUUGGGAAAGAAAUCCUGUCGGUUAAUACCCGGCGGGGAUGACGGUNCCCAAAGAAUAAGCACCGGCUAACUUCGUGCCAGCAGCCGCGGUAAUACUGAAGGGUGCAAGCGUUACUCGGAAUUACUGGGCGUAAAGCGUGCGUAAGCGGUUCGUUAAGUCUGUCGUGAAAGCCCUGGNCUCAACCUGGGAAUUGCGAUGGAUACUGGCGGGCUAGCAGUACGGUAGAGGAUGGUGGAAUUCCCGGUGUAGCGGUGAAAUGCGUAUAGAUCGGGAGGAACACCCGUGGCGAAGGCGGCCAUCUGGACCAGUACUGACGCUGAGGCACGAAAGCGUGGGGAGCAAACAGGAUUAAAUACCCUGGUAGUCCACGCCCUAAACGAUGCGAACUGGAUGUUGGGCACACUUAGGUGCUCAGUGUCGAAGCUAACGCGUUAAGUUCCCGCCUGGGGAGUACUGUCGCAAGACUGAAACUCAAAGGAAUUGACGGA